CCUACGGGAGGCAGCAGUAAGGAAUAUUGGUCAAUGGGCGCAAGCCUGAACCAGCCAUGCCGCGUGCAGGAAGACGGCCCUAUGGGUUGUAAACUGCUUUUGAACAAGAGAAAACCUCGGUACGUGUACCGAGCUGAUAGUAUUGUUAGAAUAAGCAUCGGCUAACUUCGUGCCAGCAGCCGCGGUAAGACGAAGGAUGCAAGCGUUAUCCGGAUUCAUUGGGUUUAAAGGGUGCGUAGGCGGCCUGAUAAGUCAGUGGUGAAAUCUCUCAGCUUAACUGAGAAACUGCCAUUGAUACUGUCGGGCUUGAGUACAGAUGAUGUGGGCGGAAUAUGACAUGUAGUGGUGAAAUACUUAGAUAUGUCAUAGAACACCGAUUGCGAAGGCAGCUCACAAAACUGUAACUGACGCUGAGGCACGAAAGUGCGGGGAUCAAACAGGAUUAGAUACCCUGGUAGUCCGCACCGUAAACGAUGAUUACUCGUUGUUGGCAAUAUGACCGUCAGCGACCAAGCGAAAGCGAUAAGAAUCCACCCUGGGGAGUACGCCGGCAACGGAGAACGACGAAGAAGUUAGACGCGNGAGAGNGCGACGGCGACGACGAGGGAGGAGG
This 613-nucleotide ribosomal RNA is filed under the name uncultured bacterium. Its description in RNAcentral is "bacterial SSU rRNA". It matches the Rfam family "Bacterial small subunit ribosomal RNA", at positions 338 to 1414 of the family's 1533-position model. The record is from RNAcentral.